UACGUAGGGGGGCAAGCGUUGUCCGGAAUCAUUGGGCGUAAAGCGCGUGUAGGCGGCCCGGUAAGUCCGCUGUGAAAGUCGGGGGCUCAACCCUCGAAUGCCGGUGGAUACUGUCGGGCUAGAGUGCGGGAGAGGCGAGUGGAAUUCCUGGUGUAGCGGUGAAAUGCGCAGAUAUCAGGGAGGAACACCAAUUGCGAAGGCAGCUCGCUGGAACGUAACUGACGCUGGAGACGCGAAAGCGUGGGGAGCAAACAAGG
This 257-nucleotide ribosomal RNA is filed under the name uncultured bacterium. RNAcentral describes it as "partial 16S ribosomal RNA". It matches the Rfam family "Bacterial small subunit ribosomal RNA", at positions 524 to 777 of the family's 1533-position model. The record is from RNAcentral.